RNAcentral lists this ribosomal RNA (253 nucleotides) under uncultured bacterium. RNAcentral describes it as "partial 16S ribosomal RNA". It matches the Rfam family "Bacterial small subunit ribosomal RNA", at positions 524 to 776 of the family's 1533-position model. The record is from RNAcentral.
UACGAAGGGUGCAAGCGUUACUCGGAAUUACUGGGCGUAAAGCGUGCGUAGGCGGUUCGUUAAGUCUGUCGUGAAAGCCCUGGGCUCAACCUGGGAAUUGCGAUGGAUACUGGCGAGCUAGAGUACGGUAGAGGAUGGUGGAAUUCCCGGUGUAGCGGUGAAAUGCGUAGAGAUCGGGAGGAACACCCGUGGCGAAGGCGGCCAUCUGGACCAGUACUGACGCUGAGGCGCGACAGCGUGGGGAGCGAACGGG